GUCGAGGAUCUUCGGCAAUGGGCGCAAGCCUGACCGAGCGACGCCGCGUGUGCGAUGAAGGCCUUCGGGUUGUAAAGCACUGUCGAGGGGGAGAAAGGUCCGCAAGGGCUUGAUCUAUCCCUGGAGGAAGCACGGGCUAAGUUCGUGCCAGCAGCCGCGGUAAGACGAACCGUGCGAACGUUGUUCGGAAUCACUGGGCUUAAAGGGCGCGUAGGCGGGUCUUCAAGUCAAGGGUGAAAGCCUCCGGCUUAACCGGAGAAGGGCUUUUGAUACUGGAGACCUCGAGGGGUGCAGGGGCAUGUGGAACUUCCGGUGGAGCGGUGAAAUGCGUAGAUAUCGGAAGGAACGCCGGUGGCGAAAGCGACGUGCUGGACACCUUCUGACGCUGAGGCGCGAAAGCCAGGGGAGCAAACGGGAUUAGAUACCCUGGUAGUCC
This 436-nucleotide ribosomal RNA is filed under the name uncultured bacterium. Its description in RNAcentral is "bacterial SSU rRNA". It matches the Rfam family "Bacterial small subunit ribosomal RNA", at positions 354 to 796 of the family's 1533-position model. The record is from RNAcentral.